UUCUUAAAACAUUUGUUCAUAGAUACUCCAUUUCACAUCCCCGAGCCUGUAAUCAUGACUUUGACCUGAACUUGAUUCUCAGCAGUAAAUGUUUUAACCCGUUAAGUCGCAUCGAUCUCCACAUGACAACAUCUCCGUUUUCAACCUCAGGAGGGUUUGGAGUCGGGUGAACCGGGGACGGACGACGGGCGUUUUUAUUUCCACCUGGGUGACGCCCUGCAGAGGGUUGGAGACAAAAGCGCGUAUUACUGGUACGAGUUGGGUCACAAACGCGGCCACUUUGCGUCCGUGUGGCAGAGAUCUCUGUACAACGUGAACGGGCUGAAGGCUCAGCCCUGGUGGACCCCGAAAGAGACCGGGUACACCGACCUGGUCAAGAUGUUGGAGAGGAACUGGAAGACGAUCAGGGACGAAGCUCUGGCUGUGAUGGACCAAAACACGGGACUGUUCAUACCUGAGGAGGAAAACCUGAGAGAGAAAGGAGAGUGGGGCCAGUACACCGUCUGGCAACAGGGUA
Plectropomus leopardus (leopard coralgrouper) is the source of this 517-nucleotide non-coding RNA. The record is from RefSeq and is a predicted model, not a curated record. Lineage: Eukaryota; Metazoa; Chordata; Actinopteri; Perciformes; Serranidae.